GGUCGUGGUCGUGAUCACUGACUGGGUCCUGAUUCUAAUAAUUGUGUCCUGGUUCUGGUCCUGGUCACUGUGCCCUGG
This 78-nucleotide microRNA precursor is filed under the name Nannospalax galili (Upper Galilee mountains blind mole rat). RNAcentral's name for it is "miRNA (ENSNGAG00000005330.1)". Lineage: Eukaryota; Metazoa; Chordata; Mammalia; Rodentia; Spalacidae. The record is from RNAcentral.